This 72-nucleotide transfer RNA is filed under the name Camelus bactrianus (Bactrian camel). It matches the Rfam family "tRNA". From Rfam's summary of the family: Transfer RNA (tRNA) molecules are approximately 80 nucleotides in length. Their secondary structure includes four short double-helical elements and three loops (D, anti-codon, and T loops). The record is from Rfam by way of RNAcentral. RNAcentral also lists the same sequence under 1 other name. Lineage: Eukaryota; Metazoa; Chordata; Mammalia; Artiodactyla; Camelidae.
GUGCAUAUAGCUCAAGGCGAGUGCGCAUGCUUAAUAUGCAUGAGGUCCUGGGUUCAAUCCCCAGUAUCUCCA